GCGUUGUUCGGAUUCAUUGGGCGUAAAGGGUGCGUAGGCGGCGCGGUAAGUCGGGUGUGAAAUCUCGGAGCUUAACUCCGAAACUGCAUUCGAUACUGCCGUGCUUGAGGACUGGAGAGGAGACUGGAAUUUACGGUGUAGCGGUGAAAUGCGUAGAUAUCGUAAGGAAGACCAGUGGCGAAGGCGGGUCUCUGGACAGUUCCUGACGCUGAGGCACGAAGGCCAG
This 226-nucleotide ribosomal RNA is filed under the name uncultured bacterium. RNAcentral describes it as "partial 16S ribosomal RNA". It matches the Rfam family "Bacterial small subunit ribosomal RNA", at positions 538 to 763 of the family's 1533-position model. The record is from RNAcentral.